GCCUCCAUAGUUAAGUGGUAUAACGUAUCAAUGGUAAUGAUGAAUCCUCAGUUCGAUUCUGGGUGGAGGCAUCA
This 74-nucleotide transfer RNA is filed under the name Macrococcus lamae. RNAcentral describes it as "tRNA-Thr". It matches the Rfam family "tRNA". From Rfam's summary of the family: Transfer RNA (tRNA) molecules are approximately 80 nucleotides in length. Their secondary structure includes four short double-helical elements and three loops (D, anti-codon, and T loops). Further hydrogen bonds mediate the characteristic L-shaped molecular structure. tRNAs have two regions of fundamental functional importance: the anti-codon, which is responsible for specific mRNA codon recognition, and the 3' end, to which the tRNAs corresponding amino acid is attached (by aminoacyl-tRNA synthetases). tRNAs cope with the degeneracy of the genetic code in two manners: having more than one tRNA (with a specific anti-codon) for a particular amino acid; and 'wobble' base-pairing, i.e. permitting non-standard base-pairing at the 3rd anti-codon position. Lineage: Bacteria; Bacillati; Bacillota; Bacilli; Caryophanales; Staphylococcaceae. The record is from RNAcentral.